GGUCAGCGACUUAUAUUCUGUAGCAAGGUUAACCGUAUAGGGGAGCCGAAGGGAAACCGAGUCUUAACCGGGCGUUAAGUUGCAGGGUAUAGACCCGAAACCCGGUGAUCUAGCCAUGGGCAGGUUGAAGGUUGGGUAACACUAACUGGAGGACCGAACCGACUAAUGUUGAAAAAUUAGCGGAUGACCUGUGGCUGGGGGUGAAAGGCCAAUCAAACCGGGAGAUAGCUGGUUCUCCCCGAAAGCUAUUUAGGUAGCGCCUCGUGAAUUCAUCUCCGGGGGUAGAGCACUGUUUCGGCUAGGGGGCCAUCCCGGCUUACCAACCCGAUGCAAACUGCGAAUACCGGAGAAUGUUAUCACGGGAGACACACGGCGGGUGCUAACGUCCGUCGUGAAGAGGGAAACAACCCAGACCGCCAGCUAAGGUCCCAAAGUCAUGGUUAAGUGGGAAACGAUGUGGGAAGGCCCAGACAGCCAGGAUGUUGGCUUAGAAGCAGCCAUCAUUUAAAGAAAGCGUAAUAGCUCACUGGUCGAGUCGGCCUGCGCGGAAGAUGUAACGGGGCUAAACCAU
This 571-nucleotide ribosomal RNA is filed under the name Salmonella enterica. RNAcentral describes it as "partial 23S ribosomal RNA". It matches the Rfam family "Bacterial large subunit ribosomal RNA", at positions 618 to 1190 of the family's 2925-position model. Lineage: Bacteria; Pseudomonadati; Pseudomonadota; Gammaproteobacteria; Enterobacterales; Enterobacteriaceae. The record is from RNAcentral.